UACGUAGGGACCAAGCGUUGUCCGGAAUCAUUGGGCGUAAAGAGCGUGUAGGCGGCUUGUUAAGUCUUGCGUGAAAUCUCGGGGCUCAACCCCGAGCGGUCGUGAGAAACUGGCAGGCUAGAGUGCGGGAGAGGAGAGUGGAAUUCCUGGUGUAGCGGUGAAAUGCGCAGAUAUCAGGAGGAACACCAAUUGCGAAGGCAGCUCGCUGGGACGUGACUGACGCUGAGACGCGAAAGCGUGGGGAGCAAACAGG
This 253-nucleotide ribosomal RNA is filed under the name uncultured bacterium. RNAcentral's name for it is "partial 16S ribosomal RNA". It matches the Rfam family "Bacterial small subunit ribosomal RNA", at positions 524 to 776 of the family's 1533-position model. The record is from RNAcentral.